RNAcentral lists this ribosomal RNA (238 nucleotides) under uncultured bacterium. Its description in RNAcentral is "partial 16S ribosomal RNA". The record is from RNAcentral.
CUGCUGCCUCCCGUAGGAGUCUGGGCCGUGUCUCAGUCCCAAUGUGGCCGAUCAACCUCUCAGUCCGGCUACCGAUCGUCGCCUUGGUGGGCCGUUGCCCCACCAACUAGCUAAUCGGCCGCGAGCCCAUCUUCCAGCGGAUUGCUCCUUUGGCUGCAUCGGGAUGCCCCAUCGCAGCGUUAUGCGGUAUUAGCAGUCGUUUCCAACUGUUAUCCCCCUNUGAAAGGCAGGUUGCUCA